AUGGCUGUCGUCAGCUCGUGUCGUGAGAUGUUGGGUUAAGUCCCGCAACGAGCGCAACCCUUACUUUUAGUUGCCAUCAUUUAGUUGGGCACUCUAAAAGAACUGCCAGUGAUAAGCUGGAGGAAGGUGGGGAUGACGUCAAGUCCUCAUGGCCCUUACGUGUUGGGCUACACACGUGCUACAAUGGUACUUACAGUGAGAAGCUAAGAUGCGAGUCUAAGCAAAUCUCUAAAAGGUACCUCAGUUCGGAUUGCACUCUGCAACUCGAGUGCAUGAAGCUGGAAUUACUAGUAAUCGUGGAUCAGCGUGCCACGGUGAAUACGUUCCCGGGUCUUGUACACACCGCCCGUCACACCAUGGAAGUUGGUUUCACCUUAAGGCGAAGUGUAAAAACUUUGACUACGGUACGAUCAGCGACUGGGGUGAAGUCGUAACAAGGUAGCCGUAGGGGAACCUGCGGCUGGAUCACCUCCUUUCUAAGGAAAUCGAAAAUAUUAAAACAAUUAUUUUCGAUUUAAAAAAAACCGGUAAUGUGACCGUCCUCAUUUCUCUUCUUUUAGUGUCUCUGUGUAAAAAUGUAAGGGGCCGGUAGCUCAGUUGGUUAGAGCGCACCCCUGAUAAGGGUGAGGUCGGAAGUUCGAAUCUUCCUCGGCCCACCAAUAUUGAGGGGGAUUAGCUCAGCUGGGAGAGCGCCUGAUUUGCAUUCAGGAGGUCAGCGGUUCGAUCCCGCUAUCCUCCACCAAAAAAUUGAGACAUUUAGCUUUUUUAAAUAGUAAAUAUUAUUAUCAAUAUCUAUAUCCGAUUGUUUUCAAUUUUUAUGAAAACAAUCAAAAACAAAAAUUUAAUUUAUUACAGAAAAGUUUUUUUCUGUGCAUAAAUCAAGCGUUUAAGGGCAAUUGGCGGAUGCCUUGGCACUGUAAGACGAUGAAGGACGUGGUAUACUGCGAUAAGUUUCGGGGAGCUGUAUGCAGGCUUUGAUCCGAAAAUUUCCGAAUGGGGAAACCCGG
This 1007-nucleotide small RNA is filed under the name uncultured bacterium. Its description in RNAcentral is "bacterial SSU rRNA". The stretch from base 1 to 476 matches the Rfam family "Bacterial small subunit ribosomal RNA", at positions 1045 to 1533 of the family's 1533-position model. The record is from RNAcentral.